CGUACAGCCCUCCCUCCCCCGCGUGGCGAGCGCAGACCGGGGCUGGGGGUAGGGGGGAGGCCCCCAGCCUGGGCUGCAGUGAGUGACCUAUUUGAGGAGUCAUCGCGGCCGCCCUGAUUGCCAGGCUGACUCACCGCCGCAAACCAGGCCGAAGCUCCGGACGCCCAGGCUCCGCGCAGCGACGGGGCUCGCAGGACCCCAGUGUCUCCGUCUGUGAGGUGGAAGCCGGCGCUCAGGCAAGGACAGACAGACAGGAGGGUCAGGAAGGACCGGGACGGCAGAUGGGAGUUCAGAAGCUCACUCUGCAGGCGGGCCUCGCCCCUUGGCACCUACAUCGACGCCCAGAUCAAUAGAAGAAGCAAAGAGAGAUCCCCUGACUUCAGGGACUUCCCACCCACCCACCAGUCGGAUAAUGGAGAGGACACCGGCCUAGGGCUCCUGGGGUUGACCAGAUGCCCGGAACCAUGUGAGACCUCCCAACUGAGGUCACUCCUCCAUAUCCACCCCUCACCGCGUUUCCUUUAAAAGAAGAGUGGGGACCUCAGGACCUGGUCUGGAGAGGGCCCUCCUUCCCCCUCUAAAGCAUGUCCCUGGCUUUAUCCCCAAGGAGCUCUCUCGAGAUGGCCCCCAUCCUCCUUGGAAUAAGUGUCCACUUUUCCUAAAGAACCCCUGAAUGUCCCAGCCGAGCCGAAGUCCUUUUCCACGGGGUAUGCCAGGAGCCCCACUGGUCCUGAGUCAGUUCCGCCUUCUCUCCGGGAACUCCUCAGACAACCUCUCUGGGGACUCCUGUGCUCCCACCAGGAGGAACAGGGCCCAGGGGAACUGACCAAAUGUCUCUCCUCUCAGGAUGCUCACUGGGGCUGGAAGUCAGAGAUUAAAGUGGCACCCAGCCAGUGUGGGAGUCGCCCAGGGACACAUUUUGCCUGUAAGAGCCAAUGGGAGGAACAUGGAGUAUGGAUGCCCAGAUAGCUUAGGGAUUUCAGGGAAGGAGUCUUGGGGUCCUGGCAUUAAAUGGAGCUGGGAAGGGGGCGUGGGAGCUAUGGAAGGUGAUAGAGUGAUGGAGAAUCAGCUCUGGAAGAGACUGGUGACAAAGUCCCUUCCCACACUCAUUUACAGAUGAGGAAACCAAGGCCCUGAGGAGCUUUGAAGGCCCCCUGGCCGGAUAGUGGCGAAGUCCAAAUGAGAAUGCGGAACCCUGACUCCCCUCUCCAGUGCUCAUCCUGGGAAAGUCAGACCAGCUCACAGGAAAUUGAAUGCAGUGUGUCCAGGGCUGGCUGCCAGGCCAGCUCUGUGCGGAGGACCUUAUGUGUGUCGAGCCACUUCCUUUCUUCUUGGGAGUAAUCCUGGAAGACAGGACAGGAAGGUAGGCUCUGUGUUGCUUUCCUAAAGUUCAGAGAAAACUGACUUAUCCAAGGACACACAGCUGGGCUGUCUUAGGGGAGCAACCCCUCCCCCCACCCCUUCUUCCUUCUUCAGCAUCUCCUACUCUAAGGGUCCUAAGAGGAGAACCCAGCACCAGGGCUGUGUUCCUGGACGGGCCGCCCUUCCCUCGGGGCUCUGUCCUCUCUAAAGAGGGUAGGAGAGGCCCUUUCCAGUAGAGCUGGGGGCGGGAACCCAGUUUUCCCUCCAAGAAACCAGGUCGUCAAGGAGACAAGAGGCACACGUUUCAAAUCUUCAGCAGGAGCCUGCCUGGCCCGGUGGGCGUGGCCCCGGCCUGGGGGAGGGAUGGGGCCUGGUGGGCGUGACCCCGGCCUGGGGGAGGGGUGGGGCCGGGCCUGGGGAAGGGGCCGGAGGGCGGGCCAGCGCUCAGUGUCCGCCUGCCCCUCGCCCAGACCUCAUGCUGGAUGGGGCCCUGGGGACCGUGAGCCGAGACAUAAUUGUGACCCCCAGAUGCAAUGCCGCCAAUAAAAUGAGGGGAGGGUUUGUUUUUUUAAUUUUUAUGUGAUCAUAUAUUUUACUGUGCUGGCGACCAAACUCAGGAC
Molecule: long non-coding RNA, 1982 nt
Filed under: Marmota monax (woodchuck)
Lineage: Eukaryota; Metazoa; Chordata; Mammalia; Rodentia; Sciuridae
Source: RNAcentral